UAAUAAGCAGGGCCACCCGCUCAGUUUAAGCAUAUCAAUAAGCGGAAGGAA
RNAcentral lists this ribosomal RNA (51 nucleotides) under Mimosa quadrivalvis. RNAcentral describes it as "partial 28S ribosomal RNA". The record is from RNAcentral. Lineage: Eukaryota; Viridiplantae; Streptophyta; Magnoliopsida; Fabales; Fabaceae.